CCUACGGGAGGCAGCAGUGGGGGAUAUUGGACAAUGGGGGGAACCCUGAUCCAGCGACGCCGCGUGAGUGAAGAAGUAUUUCGGUAUGUAAAGCUCUGUCAGCAGGGAAGAAAGAAAUGACAGUACCUGACCAAGCAGCCCCGGCUAACUACGUGCCAGCCGCCGCGGUAAUACGUGGGGGGCAAGCGUUAUCCGGAAUUACUGGGUGUAAAGGGAGCGUAGACGGUUAAGUAAGUCUGGAGUGAAAGGCCGGGGCCCAACCCCGGGACUGCCGUGGAAACUAUUGAACUUGAGUGCAGGAGAGGUAAGCGGAAUUCCUAGUGUAGCGGUGAAAUGCGUAGAGAUUAGGAGGAACACCAGUGGCGAAGGCGGCCUACUGGACUGUAACUGACGUUGAGGCUCGAAAGCGUGGGGAGCAAACAGGAUUAGAUACCCUAGUAGUC
Molecule: ribosomal RNA, 443 nt
Filed under: uncultured bacterium
Lineage: Bacteria
Description: partial 16S ribosomal RNA
Rfam family: Bacterial small subunit ribosomal RNA
Source: RNAcentral